UAGAUAGAAAGAUUAAACUGAAGAGUUUGAUCAUGGCUCAGAUUGAACGCUGGCGGCAGGCUUAACACAUGCAAGUCGAACGAUGACUAACUAGCUUGCUAGUUAUGAUUAGUGGCGGACGGGUGAGUAACAUUUAGGAAUCUGCCUAGUAGUGGGGGAUAGCUCGGGGAAACUCGAAUUAAUACCGCAUACGACCUACGGGUGAAAGGGGGCGCAAGCUCUUGCUAUUAGAUGAGCCUAAAUCAGAUUAGCUAGUUGGUGGGGUAAAGGCCUACCAAGGCGACGAUCUGUAACUGGUCUGAGAGGAUGAUCAGUCACACCGGAACUGAGACACGGUCCGGACUCCUACGGGAGGCAGCAGUGGGGAAUAUUGGACAAUGGGGGCAACCCUGAUCCAGCCAUGCCGCGUGUGUGAAGAAGGCCUUUUGGUUGUAAAGCACUUUAAGCAGGGAGGAGAGGCUAAUGGUUAAUACCCAUUAGAUUAGACGUUACCUGCAGAAUAAGCACCGGCUAACUCUGUGCCAGCAGCCGCGGUAAUACAGAGGGUGCGAGCGUUAAUCGGAAUUACUGGGCGUAAAGCGAGUGUAGGUGGCUCAUUAAGUCACAUGUGAAAUCCCCGGGCUUAACCUGGGAACUGCAUGUGAUACUGGUGGUGCUAGAAUAUGUGAGAGGGAAGUAGAAUUCCAGGUGUAGCGGUGAAAUGCGUAGAGAUCUGGAGGAAUACCGAUGGCGAAGGCAGCUUCCUGGCAUAAUAUUGACACUGAGAUUCGAAAGCGUGGGUAGCAAACAGGAUUAGAUACCCUGGUAGUCCACGCCGUAAACGAUGUCUACUAGCCGUUGGGGUCCUUGAGACUUUAGUGGCGCAGUUAACGCGAUAAGUAGACCGCCUGGGGAGUACGGCCGCAAGGUUAAAACUCAAAUGAAUUGACGGGGGCCCGCACAAGCGGUGGAGCAUGUGGUUUAAUUCGAUGCAACGCGAAGAACCUUACCUGGUCUUGACAUAGUGAGAAUCCUGCAGAGAUGCGGGAGUGCCUUCGGGAAUUCACAUACAGGUGCUGCAUGGCUGUCGUCAGCUCGUGUCGUGAGAUGUUGGGUUAAGUCCCGCAACGAGCGCAACCCUUUUCCUUAUUUGCCAGCGGGUUAAGCCGGGAACUUUAAGGAUACUGCCAGUGACAAACUGGAGGAAGGCGGGGACGACGUCAAGUCAUCAUGGCCCUUACGACCAGGGCUACACACGUGCUACAAUGGUAGGUACAGAGGGUUGCUACACAGCGAUGUGAUGCUAAUCUCAAAAAGCCUAUCGUAGUCCGGAUUGGAGUCUGCAACUCGACUCCAUGAAGUCGGAAUCGCUAGUAAUCGCAGAUCAGAAUGCUGCGGUGAAUACGUUCCCGGGCCUUGUACACACCGCCCGUCACACCAUGGGAGUCUAUUGCACCAGAAGUAGGUAGCCUAACGAAAGAGGGCGCUUACCACGGUGUGGUCGAUGACUGGGGUGAAGUCGUAACAAGGUAGCCGUAGGGGAACCUGCGGCUGGAUCACCUCCUUAA
Molecule: ribosomal RNA, 1547 nt
Filed under: Enhydrobacter aerosaccus
Lineage: Bacteria; Pseudomonadati; Pseudomonadota; Alphaproteobacteria; Hyphomicrobiales
Description: bacterial SSU rRNA
Rfam family: Bacterial small subunit ribosomal RNA
Source: RNAcentral